UAUAGGUCAUGAUUAAAUGAUUGAUUGAAUUUGAUGUGAAGAUAAGCUUAUACCGCCUAUCGAUCUGUGUUUUACUUUAAGUUUAAUACAUGAGGAUUUCAUUGAGCAGUCAGACUCAACCGCAUAGUCUCUGUGUUUACUAUAAAUAUAAUAUAUAGGCUCAAUAUGAUUGUCAAUUAGGCCUAUAGACUAUGCAUUAUUUUAGGCUAUAGGCUUUAUAUAUGCCUAUAGGCUGAACAUGACAGGUUGUCAAUUAGGCUUAUGCAUUAUUUUAUGUACAGACCUACGUCUAAAAACAAUGACCUUCUGAAUUAACAUAAUCCUAACUAUCAGCAGUUUAAUAAUGAAUUGAUGUUAACUGUUUUUAAUGGCUGUUAAUUGAUUUUAAACUGUUUUAAUGACUGUUAUUUAAUGUUGAACUGUUUUGCGUUUGAGGCUUCCCAAGGCUGCUUUGAUCCUCCAUUCAAUAGUGAUGGCGGCCUGUUAAGUGUUUUUCCUUUGUAUUGGGGCUAUCUAUUUAGGAUAAGAUUCUGCCUGGCUGGCUGUCAAUAACACUAAGACUAUAACAAUAAAAAAACAUAACAAAAAACACAGUCAGUAAAAUAACAUCAAAUAAACAUUAGAAGAUAGAAUCGCCCUAAACAUUUGUUUUAUUCCAAUAUUUUGAAUUUACCGCCCGAUUCCCCAUCGUCUCCGUUCUCCACGUCUGUUGAAUGACGCCGACGCUGACGCGGGUAGCCAGUCUGAAUGGCGAUGGUAACAGACUCGCAGCGCGGUGCGGACGGAGCGCAGCCCGACCUUAUAUCGCUUUGAAAAAACAUCGCUAUAUCAAAUGAAACGGACGAGAACAGUUACCCCUAUGUAAAAUGGAGGAUAGUUUUGAUUGCGACUGUGGUGAGCUUGAGCCACCCGAUUGUUGAGGGCCAGACUACUCUGUGAAGACUAAAAGGCAAGACACCAUUUUGGAUGAGCGGUGGUUUCAACAGGAAGAAGAUUGAGUAAAUACACACAAAAAAAAACACACAAAAAAAUAAUAAUUUGAAAUUGUAGUGCUUUUUGGCGCAAUUGUAAUCAAUGCAGCUCCACAGGAUGAGUCAAUCACUGAAUGUAUCUGCACUGUGAGGAUGCAACAAGAUGCUGUUGUAGUUUUUGAA
Oncorhynchus masou masou (cherry salmon) is the source of this 1154-nucleotide long non-coding RNA. RefSeq lists it as uncharacterized. The record is from RefSeq and is a predicted model, not a curated record. Lineage: Eukaryota; Metazoa; Chordata; Actinopteri; Salmoniformes; Salmonidae. The transcript has 2 exons.